GAUGAACGCUGGCGGCGUGCCUAAUACAUGCAAGUCGAGCGAACGGACGAGAAGCUUGCUUCUCUGAUGUUAGCGGCGGACGGGUGAGUAACACGUGGAUAACCUACCUAUAAGACUGGGAUAACUUCGGGAAACCGGAGCUAAUACCGGAUAAUAUUUUGAACCGCAUGGUUCAAAAGUGAAGGACGGUCUUGCUGUCACUUAUAGAUGGAUCCGCGCUGCAUUAGCUAGUUGGUAAGGUAACGGCUUACCAAGGCAACGAUGCAUAGCCGACCUGCGAGGGUGAUCGGCCACACUGGAACUGAGACACGGUCCAGACUCCUACGGGAGGCAGCAGUAGGGAAUCUUCCGCAAUGGGCGAAAGCCUGACGGAGCAACGCCGCGUGAGUGAUGAAGGUCUUCGGAUCGUAAAACUCUGUUAUUAGGGAAGAACAUAUGUGUAAGUAACUGUGCACAUCUUGACGGUACCUAAUCAGAAAGCCACGGCUAACUACGUG
RNAcentral lists this ribosomal RNA (497 nucleotides) under uncultured bacterium. RNAcentral's name for it is "partial 16S ribosomal RNA". It matches the Rfam family "Bacterial small subunit ribosomal RNA", at positions 28 to 507 of the family's 1533-position model. The record is from RNAcentral.